AUUGAACGCUGGCGGCAGGCUUAACACAUGCAAGUCGAGCGAGCGGCGGAGGGGUGAGUAAUGUCUGGAAACUUGCCUGAUGGGGGGGGAUAAUUACUGGAACCGGUAGCAAAUACCGCAAACCACAGGAUGUGCCCAGAUGGGCUUAGCUAGUAGGUGGGGUAAUGGCUCACCUAGGCGACGAUCCCUAGCUGGUCUGAGAGGAUGACCAGCCACACUGGAACUGAGACACGGUCCAGACUCCUACGGGAGGCAGCAGUGGGGAAUAUUGCACAAUGGGCGCAAGCCUGAUGCAGCCAUGCCGCGUGUGUGAAGAAGGCCUUCGGGUUGUAAAGCACUUUCAGCGAGGAGGCGUUACUCGCAGAAGAAGCACCGGCUAACUCCGUGCCAGCAGCCGCGGUAAUUC
RNAcentral lists this ribosomal RNA (406 nucleotides) under uncultured bacterium. Its description in RNAcentral is "partial 16S ribosomal RNA". It matches the Rfam family "Bacterial small subunit ribosomal RNA", at positions 30 to 526 of the family's 1533-position model. The record is from RNAcentral.